This is a long non-coding RNA of Raphanus sativus (radish), 1048 nucleotides long. RefSeq lists it as uncharacterized. The record is from RefSeq and is a predicted model, not a curated record. The transcript has 3 exons. NCBI's taxonomy places the organism in Eukaryota, Viridiplantae, Streptophyta, Magnoliopsida, Brassicales, Brassicaceae.
UUAACAGGGUUGAGCCCAUUUUGAUUUUUGUAAAGCAAAGCUUCUUCGUUCUUCGUUCAGCCUCUUUUUCGAUCAAAGCUUCUUCUUCGUUUUCGAUCUCUCUCUCCGAUCAUCUCAGCCUCUUUCUCCGAUCAUCUCAGCCUCUUUCUCAGGCUCUGUUCUCAGGCUCCUCCGUGGGUUUCAUCAUCUCAGGCUCUGUUCUCAGGCUUCUCCAUAGCAUCUCAAAGCUCUCUUCUCCAAACGGACCAAACCCAUCUCUUCCUUUUCUCAUCUGAGACGCAAACCUCGAGCUCUCUCAUCCGAUUUGGUUUAUCACGAGCUCUCUUAUCUCCUCUGAUUGAGUUCUCUUGCAGGAAAAGAAGUUACUGGACUUGCCAAAGUUAUUGGAUAUAUGCGCUAUUUAUGGUCAUGAAAAUGCAGAACUCACAAAAUCUUUAGUAAGUCGGAGCUUUUGUCAUUUCUCUACACUCUUUCAUCUGCUAGUAACCUGAGUACUCUGUGUAGAUCGUUUAAGCCUUGUCUUCUCUUGUGUUUUGCAUCGCUUGUGUUUGCUGUCUGUGUAGCUGUUGCGUUUUGAAUUGCUGGAUCAUGCUUCUUAUUUGCGUUUGGAUAUGAAGCAGCUUCUCUGUUCUGCCAUGUCAUCUUCAUAGUAGCUUCUGUCUUUUUAUGAGUUUGUUGUCUCUCUUUAUGAGUUCGUUGACUGUAUUGUCUGUAAUCUUGUUGAUUGAUUCCAGGCAGCAGAAGAUUAAGAGAACGAGGAAUCUGUACGUUGUCAUGCUACGUUGAUCUGAGGACAUUUUCUUUUGUACUUGUUGUCUGUGUUGUACUCUUUGCUUUUCAGUGAUUUUGUAUACAAUGAAGCAGAAAGAGUAUUGGCGAGUGAAGAUCCUUCAUUGCAUGUUUCAAAAAAGUCUUUGUUUUGUGUUUAGUUUUUUUCUUAACAUUCAUUCUUGGUGGUGUCUUUGAAACUGUUGGAACAUGGAAGUGUAUUAAAGAUUCAUUCAUGUGUGUUUGUUUCAAGUUAAAGAUUCAUUCAUGUUUCACAUUA